RNAcentral lists this ribosomal RNA (547 nucleotides) under uncultured Pestalotiopsis. RNAcentral describes it as "eukaryotic LSU rRNA". The stretch from base 178 to 331 matches the Rfam family "5.8S ribosomal RNA". Lineage: Eukaryota; Fungi; Ascomycota; Sordariomycetes; Amphisphaeriales; Amphisphaeriaceae. The record is from RNAcentral.
CUUAGACUCGUUGGUGACCAGCGGAGGGUCAUUAUAGAGUUUUCUAAACUCCCAACCCAUGUGAACUUACCUUUUGUUGCCUCGGCAGAAGUUAUAUGUCUUCUUAUAGCUGCUGCCGGUGGACCAUUAAACUCUUGUUAUUUUAUGUAAUCUGAGCGUCUUAUUUUAAUAAGUCAAAACUUUCAACAACGGAUCUCUUGGUUCUGGCAUCGAUGAAGAACGCAGCGAAAUGCGAUAAGUAAUGUGAAUUGCAGAAUUCAGUGAAUCAUCGAAUCUUUGAACGCACAUUGCGCCCAUUAGUAUUCUAGUGGGCAUGCCUGUUCGAGCGUCAUUUCAACCCUUAAGCCUAGCUUAGUGUUGGGAAUCUACUUCUUUUAUUAGUUGUAGUUCCUGAAAUACAACGGCGGAUUUGUAGUAUCCUCUGAGCGUAGUAAUGUUUUUCUCGCUUUUGUUAGGUGCUAUAACUCCCAGCCGCUAAACCCCCAAUUUUUUGUGGUUGACCUCGGAUCAGGUAGGAAUACCCGCUGAACUUAAGCAUAUCAAAGGG